This 1273-nucleotide long non-coding RNA is filed under the name Gallus gallus (chicken). RNAcentral describes it as "lncRNA (ENSGALG00010002323.1)". Lineage: Eukaryota; Metazoa; Chordata; Aves; Galliformes; Phasianidae. The record is from RNAcentral.
CCAGUGCCCCCCACCUACCCUGCAUACCGGAGGGCAAGAAAGGCACAUACUUAAAGAAGCUGCUGCUUACACAUGCAUUAGAUUUCCAAGAAAACGUUGGGUUAGUACAGCGAGUCCCCAAAAUGAUUGACAUUUAUCCCUGCCCCAAGUCUCAGCUCUAUGACACAUGCGUAUCUUUUGGUGGUUCUUUGGUGGACUUUUGGAUGAAGGCUGAGGUCUUAUUUUCCUUUGACAUGGGUCAGGUUGGAGACUCUUGGCUGGCUCUGGUUGGUCAUCUUAUUGUCUACAACAAGUAAACAAGUGUGAGUAAAACCCGGGGUAAAGUGUGAGUAAAAUCCGGAGUAAGGUGUGACUAAACCCAGAGUAAAUUGUGUGUAAACCUGGAAUAAAGUGUGUGUAAAACCUGAGUAAAGGUUGAGUAAACCUGGAGUAAAGGGUGAGUAAAACUAGAGAAAAGUGUGAGUAGACCCAAAGUAAAGGGUGUGUAAGCCCGGAGUAAAUAAUGAGUAAAGCUGUAGUAAUUUCUGAGUAAACACAAAGUAAAGUUGUGAGUAAAACAAAUGGUGUACAUUGUUAGGAAACACGGAAUAAAGUGAGAGUAAACCCAGAGAAAAGUAUGACUACACCAGGAGAGCAGUCUGAGUAAAAGGGUUGGUAAAGGUAGAGUAAAGCGCGAGUAAUACCCAGAGUAAGGUGUGCCUAAACCCAAAGAAAAUUGUGAGUAAACCCAGAGUACAGGAUGCGUAACCAUAAAGUAAAGAGUGAGUAAACCUGGAGUAGAGGGUGAACAAAGCUUGGAGAAAACUGUGAGGAAACAUGGAGUAAAAUAUGUGUAAAACCUUGUGUAGAAUGUGUGUAAAACCUGAUGUAAAAUGUGAGUAAAGCUAGAGAAAAGUGUGAGUAAACCCAUAGUAAAGAGUGUGUAAGCUCGGAGUAAAUAGUGAGGAAACCUGGUGUAAAUUGUGAGUAAACCCAAAAGUAAACUGAGAGUAAACCGAGAGAAAACUAUGAGUACACCAGGAUUGAAGUGUGUGUAAGCCCAGAGUAAAGGGUUGGUAAAAGUAGAGUAAAGCACGAGUAAUACCCAGAGUAAGGUGUGACUAAACCCAAAGUAAAGUGUGAGUAAACCUGGAGUAAAGAGUGCGUAACCAUGAAGUAAAGAGUGACUAAACCUGGAGUAGAGGGUGACCAAAGCUUGGAGAAAACAUGGAGUAAAAUAUGCGUAACCCUGGUGUAGAAUGUGAGUAUAACCUGAUGUAAAAUAUGAGUAAAG